AGUGAACGCUGGCGGCGUGCCUAAUACAUGCAAGUCGAACGAUGAAGUCCUAGCUUGCUAGGAUGGAUUAGUGGCGCACGGGUGAGUAAUAUAUAGUUAAUCUGCCCUACACAGAGGAACAACAGUUAGAAACGGCUGCUAAUACCUCAUACUCCUAUUUGACAUAAGUUAAAUAGGGAAAGUCUUUUCGGUGUAGGAUGAGACUAUAUCGUAUCAGCUAGUUGGUAAGGUAAUGGCUUACCAAGGCUAUGACGCGUAACUGGUCUGAGAGGAUGAUCAGUCACAUUGGAACUGAGACACGGUCCAAACUCCUACGGGAGGCAGCAGUAAGGAAUAUUGCGCAAUGGGGGAAACCCUGACGCAGCAACGCCGCGUGGAGGAUGACACUUUUCGGAGCGUAAACUCCUUUUAUCAGGAAAGAAUAAUGACGGUACCUGAUGAAUAAGCACCGGCUAACUCCGUGCCAGCAGCCGCGGUAAUACGGGGGGUGCAAGCGUUACUCGGAAUCACUGGGCGUAAAGGACGCGUAGGCGGAUUAUCAAGUCUUUUGUGAAAUCUAGUGGCUUAACCACUAAACUGCUUAGGAAACUGAUAGUCUAGAGUAGGGGGGAGGUAGAUGGAAUUCUUAGUGUAGGGGUAAAAUCCGUAGAGAUCAAGAAGAAUACCCAUUGCGAAAGCGAUCUGCUGGAACCUAACUGACGCUGAGGCGUGAAAGCGUGGGUAGCAAACAGG
This 732-nucleotide ribosomal RNA is filed under the name uncultured Campylobacter sp. RNAcentral describes it as "bacterial SSU rRNA". It matches the Rfam family "Bacterial small subunit ribosomal RNA", at positions 28 to 776 of the family's 1533-position model. Lineage: Bacteria; Pseudomonadati; Campylobacterota; Epsilonproteobacteria; Campylobacterales; Campylobacteraceae. The record is from RNAcentral.